RNAcentral lists this transfer RNA (95 nucleotides) under Tilletia horrida. RNAcentral's name for it is "tRNA-Cys". It matches the Rfam family "tRNA". From Rfam's summary of the family: Transfer RNA (tRNA) molecules are approximately 80 nucleotides in length. The record is from RNAcentral. Lineage: Eukaryota; Fungi; Basidiomycota; Exobasidiomycetes; Tilletiales; Tilletiaceae.
GAGGCGGUAGCUCAGGGGUAGAGCGGAUGAUUGCAGCAGCAGCAGCUUCCACAGCAUUCCUCAUCAGGUCAGGCGUUCGACUCGCCUUCGCCUCU